AUGGCUUGUCCUCCUAUCAUCGUUAUUACUCCCGAACAUGAAAUUCUUAAUUUUAAGCAAAGGGAGGGAGAAAAUCUAAAAGAUGCUUGGCAUAGAAUUUGCAAUGCUCAAAAUAGAUCUACUAGGAAGCUUUCUACUUCCGUUCUUCUUCGCAAUUUUUAUGUAGGCAUUACUCCGUGGAAUAGAUGCAUUCUUGAUACCAUUACCAGAGGGAAUUUUUUGGAUAGCCAUACCUUUGAUGCUUAUAAUGCUAUGUUAGAUUUGUUUGGUCCUCCUCCUCUCUUGGUAAAUGGGACUAUUUUGACUCUAGAACAUGUGAUGCAAAGGCUUGAAAUUAUUGAAAAUAAAGUCGCCACCGUUGAGUUAAUUGAAAAUCUAGAAAAAAAGGAUUCAUAA
RNAcentral lists this ribosomal RNA (396 nucleotides) under Triticum aestivum (bread wheat). RNAcentral's name for it is "partial small subunit ribosomal RNA". Lineage: Eukaryota; Viridiplantae; Streptophyta; Magnoliopsida; Poales; Poaceae. The record is from RNAcentral.